Molecule: long non-coding RNA, 1900 nt
Filed under: Coffea arabica (coffee)
Lineage: Eukaryota; Viridiplantae; Streptophyta; Magnoliopsida; Gentianales; Rubiaceae
Description: long non-coding RNA (CARA_LNC006305)
Source: RNAcentral
UUUUUUUUUUUUGUGGAUGCUAAUCCUCAAUUUUCUUUUCCUUAAUCAUGUAAAAAAUUGGAAUUUGUUAUCCCAUUUACUUUAUUUUUUGUGUUCAGACUUCAGAGUUCAGCUAUCCUUCUCAUCUUCCAUUUUUUUUUCUACUUUUCUUCACAGACCAAACUUCAGAGAUCGUAUAUCCUUCUUCUGUUACAUUUUUUCCUGGUUUUCUUCACUCCUUACUCAAAUAUCUUCUCCUAUUCUCUGUUUUGCAUAUUUUUCUCUUAUGAUUUUUUCUUAAAUAUCUAAGUAAUUAAGAAACUUGGGGUUUUCAUUGUUGUUCUUCUUUACAGUAUUGAAGAAGCAGUCUGUGCAUCUAUGGCUCUGUUAGAUUGAGAUCUGAUCUCAUAUAUUUCCAAUUUCAUUGUAGAUUAGGAUUUUCCCUAAUUAUAUGAUUUUGAUUAUGUGUUCUUCAAUUUUUCUAGUAACAGAUUCAGGUAGUUAUUCUUUCAUUAUUUUGUUUUAUGCUUCUAUAUUUCUUUUGCUAUUUAUUUCCAAUCUAUUUAGGUUUAAUUUUUUCCCCAUUAUUUACUUUGCCAAAUUUGUUUCUUAGGAGCUUUGAGCGACUUCUGUUUGUUAUGGGAUGAAUUUGUAUCUGCUAUUGCUACUAGGUAUAAUCCUUUUUUUCCUUGCUCAUAUUGAUUAAUUUUCAGUUUUGGUUUUCAAGUUUUUAUUUAUUAAAUUUUUUCUCCUCCAAUAAACUGCAGUUUCUUUCGUCUCGUGCCAUCAACAUAAUCAAAAACUUGAGGUAUUGGGUUUUGUGCUAUAUUUAGUUGCUUAAAUUUUACUUUUUUGCUGUUACAAAUUUAGUUGUUUUUUUUUUUUUGCUUUUUGUUGAGCUUACUUUCAUGUAAUAUUGUCAAUUUUAAGUUGUUUCUUUUCUUGCACACACGUUAGAUCUACAUGUGUAAAUCAUUUUGCAUUGCAUAGUUUUUGUUCUACUUAAUGUGUCUAAGAAUAUUUUGGGGUAUUUUCUGCACGUGGAUAUAAAUAUUUCCUUUGGUCAAAAUCAUCCUAAGAUUUACCAAAUCUGUUCACCUCCUUAACAAGCCUACUUGGUUUUGGGUACAAGUCCUGCUCUCAAUUAGUUUAGCCUUGCUUGGUUGAAGUUCAAUGUCAUUGCAGUUUCAUUUUAUGGCACAGUGCUUCCAUGUUUUUGGUGUCCCAGAGUCACUUUUUACUUUGUGUGCUGAGGGUAUUUCUUUUUCUCCAAUUUAUAAGUGUUUGAUUGAAUUCAAUGUGGUGGAAAACUACUAGAUGCCUGAUGAGAAAAUGAAAGAUAGGUAUGUCAUGUUAAUUUGCUGGAAACAUAUUGCUCUGUAAUUUCAUGGAAUUGUCAUUUUGAGGAUAUAUGUGUGUGGCUUAAAGAUAGGGAAUAUCUAAAAGGUACAUGACAACUUAAAUGACCAUAUCCUGGAUCAAAUUUUGGCUCCAAAAACAAUAAUUUUAUGUCUUUCCAGUACUUAUGAAGUUUAUAAUAUAUAAUGAGAAUAAACUAUAAAAGGAAUGAGCUUUAGUUGAUGAAAACUCAAACAAGGAGUGGUAUGAGUGCUUUCGCGUUUACUUGACCUGAUAGUUUUGUAUAUAUAGGUUAGGCACACACAUUUUAAAUCCCCCCUCUUUCUGCUUCCUCUCCUGCUUGAAAACAAAAUUAAAAAUGGAGGUUUUAUAACUAGAUGAGAAAUUGUCUUGAGCAUGCAUUCAAAAAGACAAUUGCCUUUGAGGAAUUGGAAAAAUUUUUCAACUUUCCAACAAUGAAGUUCCCUCCUUUUUUUCCACACAUUUGGCAUUAUGAUGUUAUCCUUACAUUUUGAUUUUUGACUUAACAACCUUGCAAAUGCUUUCUAGAGCAUUUCAUGCC